CAACCCAUUUAUUUCUUUUUAUUGCAUCAGCUAUGUUGGUCCGUAAAAAUGUAUUAGUCUUGUUAAUUGUACCUAUAAUAUUAUGACUGGGCACAAGCGGAAGUCCAGAGUCAUGUGACCCAGUAGGGGAAGUCUUUAAGUAGGCCCACAUCCUUCUCAGGUGAGGAGUGGUGUGGUGCAGUGGCUAGACUGAGGCCUAUAUGGGACGUGGGACCUUGACCUGGUUGUUGCGGAACUUGUAUAUCUUUUAAAUAUCUGAGCUCAAAAUAAAGGUAAAGAAAAGAG
Long non-coding RNA from Melanotaenia boesemani (Boeseman's rainbowfish), 285 nucleotides. RefSeq lists it as uncharacterized. The record is from RefSeq and is a predicted model, not a curated record. Lineage: Eukaryota; Metazoa; Chordata; Actinopteri; Atheriniformes; Melanotaeniidae. The transcript has 2 exons.